This 568-nucleotide ribosomal RNA is filed under the name Cortinarius cedriolens. Its description in RNAcentral is "eukaryotic LSU rRNA". The stretch from base 186 to 339 matches the Rfam family "5.8S ribosomal RNA". Lineage: Eukaryota; Fungi; Basidiomycota; Agaricomycetes; Agaricales; Cortinariaceae. The record is from RNAcentral.
GGAACCUGCGGAAGGAUCAUUAUUGAAAUAAACCUGAUGGGUUGUUGCUGGCUCUCUAGGGGGCAUGUGCACACCUUGUCAUCUUUAUAUCUCCACCUGUGCACUUUUUGUAGACCUUUCAGGUCUAUGUUGCUUCAUUUACCCCAAUGUAUGUUAAUAGAAUGUUGUGACUAUAUAAUUUAUACAACUUUCAGCAACGGAUCUCUUGGCUCUCGCAUCGAUGAAGAACGCAGCGAAAUGCGAUAAGUAAUGUGAAUUGCAGAAUUCAGUGAAUCAUCGAAUCUUUGAACGCACCUUGCGCUCCUUGGUAUUCCGAGGAGCAUGCCUGUUUGAGUGUCAUUAAUAUAUAUAUCAACCCUCUCUUUGUUGAGUGGUUUGGAUGUGGGGGUUUGCUGGCCUCUUAAAUGGUUCAGCUCCCCUGAAAUGCAUUAGCAGAACAACCCUAGUUCAUUGGUGUGAUAACUAUCUACGCUAUUGAAUGUGAAGGGAAGUUCAGCUUUCUAACUGUCUUUGGACAAUUCAUCAUUAAUGUGACCUCAAAUCAGGUAGGACUACCCGCUGAACUUAA